RNA transcript from Populus euphratica (Euphrates poplar), 1538 nucleotides. It is a transcript of the gene named bacterial transferase hexapeptide repeat-containing protein, with no coding region annotated. The transcript is spliced from 12 exons. Lineage: Eukaryota; Viridiplantae; Streptophyta; Magnoliopsida; Malpighiales; Salicaceae. The record is from RefSeq and is a predicted model, not a curated record.
GCAGAAUUACUCUCCUAAUUUCCCUCCGAACGAAUCCAGUUCAUCAUCGUCAUCGAUGGCAGCAGCUACAAAUUCCAUCCUCCUCAAACUCAAACCCAACAUAAAAACAAAAAUCUGCAACCCACUAUUUGGCUUUGCUCGCAGUAGCAGUAGUGCUUCACCCUCUAUCCCACACUUGUUCUCCGCAACAGCACUCCCAUAUGCAGAUGCUGAUUCUGAUUGUUCAAGCGAGAUUAAAGCCACCGCAGACGCAAACCCUAACUUAAUUCACCCCUCCGCCGACGUCCACCCUAACGCUGUCAUUGGCCACGGUGUUUCAGUUGGUCCAUUUUGCACAAUCGGAUCUUCAGUAAAGCUUGGAAAUGGAUGUCGAUUAUAUCCCGGUAGCCAUGUUUUCGGAGAUACUGAGAUUGGGGAUCACUGUCUUUUGAUGCCUGGUGCUGUGGUUGGUGAUCAUCUUCCUGGACGUACAGUUUUGGGAUGCAAUAAUGUUAUCGGUCACCAUGCUGUCAUCGGUGUCAAAUGCCAGGAUUUGAAAUACAAGCCAGGGGAUGAAUGUUUUCUUCACAUUGGAGACAAUAACGAGAUUAGAGAGCACACUUCAAUACACCGAUCUUCAAAAUCAAGUGAUAAAACGGUUAUUGGUGAUAACAAUCUUAUCAUGGGCUCCUGUCAUAUUGCUCAUGACUGCAAUAUUGGCAACAAUAACAUUUUUGCUAACAAUACUCUUCUAGCUGGCCAUGCUGUUGUAGAAGAUUACACUCACACUGCUGGAGCCAUUGUUGUUCAUCAAUUUUGCCAUAUUGGUUCCUUUUCUUUUGUUGGUGGUGGAUCUGUGGUUUCACAAGAUGUCCCAAAGUACACGAUGGUGGUUGGAGAAAGAGCUGAGCUUCGCGGUUUGAAUUUGGAAGGUCUUCGGCGUAAUGGAUUCACAGCCACAGAGAUUAAGAGUUUGAGAACAGCUUACAGAAACAUAUUCAUGCCUGUUGAUUCUAAUUCUACAAGUUUUGAAGAACGCAUUACCAAAGUGGAAGAGGACAAAGAACUGGGUAAGAUACCUGCUGUAUGUAGCAUGAUACAGUCUCUUCGUGAUUCUUUUGCUCAGAAUCGCCGUGGAAUAUGCAAGUUCAGAUAUUUCAGUGGCUCUUGAAUUCUUUUGGACCAAAAUGAGAUACAUAGCAAACGGUCUAAACACUGAAAUGUCCUCUUGAUUAACUACUGUUGUACUCUCAAGCCGGUAAAGACAUGAUUUUAGUAUGAAAAUAGAGAACCGUGUCAAGCUUCUUAAGGUAUAGAUAUAGUUGGCUAUAUGGACUUGAUUUUUGAAGUCUUGAAAGAUAGCUGUAGAUUUUAAAUGUACCAAGGAGAAGGUGCAGGCUCAGAAUAUUAGGCAGUAACACUGAAGAAUUUUGUGCAUUUUUUGAAGGAAACAUGUUUGUGAUUUAUUUCACACCACGAGGUAUUAUAAUCAUUUUGAGUGGUUAAUACUAUAAAGUUAAUGCAUUAUUUGAAGAAGCUCACUGAUUCUUCCUGGUUAA